Molecule: ribosomal RNA, 496 nt
Filed under: uncultured bacterium
Lineage: Bacteria
Description: partial 16S ribosomal RNA
Rfam family: Bacterial small subunit ribosomal RNA
Source: RNAcentral
GACGAACGCUGGCGGCGUGCCUAAUACAUGCAAGUAGAACGCUGAAGCGAGGGGCUUGCUCUUCUUGGUUGAGUUGCGAACGGGUGAGUAACGCGUAGGUAACCUGCCUUGUAGCGGGGGAUAACUAUUGGAAACGAUAGCUAAUACCGCAUAACAAUGGAUGACACAUGUUAUUUAUUUGAAAGGGGCAAUUGCUCUACUACAAGAUGGACCUGCGUUGUAUUAGCUAGUAGGUGAGGUAAUGGCUCACCUAGGGGACGAUACCUAGCCGCACUGAGAGGCAAGCUGCCACACUGGGACUGAGACACGGCCCAGAAGCCUUCGGGAGGCAGCAGUAGGGAAUCUUCGGCAAUGGGGGCAACCCUGACCGAGCAACGCCGCGUGAGUGAAGAAGGGUUUCGGGUCCUAAAGCUCUGUUGUAAGUCGAGAACGUGGGUGAGAGUGGAAAGUUCACACUGUGACGGGAGCUUACCAGAAAGGUACGGCUAACUACGUG